GUGGCAAAUGCCUUUGCUGCCGGCGGCGUCGCCGCUGCCGCUGUCGCUGGCCGCGGCGGCGUCCCGUCGCGGCCGCGCCGUGGCCUGCGCUGCGAGAGGCGCGGCUUCCUCCUCGUUCGACGCGGCAAGGUUCGAGGCCGAGCGGCUCCGGCUCGACGCAGAGGCGCGGGCCGGGAUGGCGUCCGCGGCGGCAGGGGCGGACGCGGAGGCGGACCCCAAGGCGUGGAAGUGGGCGAUACGGAGGCGGGUGUGGGACGCGCUGGAGGCCGAGGGCGUCGCGCGCGACCCGCGGCCCGUCCACCACCGCAUCCCCAACUUCGACGGCGCCGCCGCCGCCGCCGACUCGUUGGGGAGACUCGACGUUUUCCAGGAUGCACAAUGUGUGAAGGUCAAUCCUGACUCCCCACAGAAGCAAGUUCGCUUCUUAACACUCUCAGGUGAUAAAAUGUUGCUGACUCCACAACCUCGGCUAAGGACAGGAUUUUUCUCAGUUCUGGAAUCUCACAUGAUACCCACUGGAUGUAUUCCAGAAGCAUGCACUUCUGUUGGUGCAGCCAAAUACGGCAGACCAAUAGGUCUAGAUGAAAAAGUUAAAGUGAACUUGAUCGUGAUUGGAUCGGUUGCAGUUGACCCAAGCACAGGAACACGGCUAGGAAAGGGCGAGGGAUUUGCAGAGCUGGAAUAUGGGAUGCUUCGUUAUAUGGGAUCUAUUAGCGAUUCAACCAUGAUAGUUACAACUGUGCAUGACAAGCAAUUAGUGAAUGACAUUCCAGUUGAGAAGCUGCUAAUUCAUGAUGUACCAGUUGACAUUAUCUGCACUCCGACCCAGGUCAUCUUCACGAAUACCACAAUCCCAAAACCACAAGGGAUUUACUGGGAAAAGUUAUCUCCAGAAAAAUUGGGCCAAAUACGAAUUUUACAGGAGCUGAAGAGACGCAUAGAGAAUGAAACGGGAACUACACUUCCUUGUGGCCCUUCUGAGAAGCUACCACCAACAGCACAGCGAAGAAGAAGAAAACGAAGACGAUGAUAAGUGACAUGAGGACAGCUAAUCUUUGGAAUCUGAUGUGCUCCAGUCACAUCACAGCACCUUGUGUGUACGCAUGCCCAUGGUGCUGACUUGGCACGUUUGCACGACGCGAUUGGUUGCCGUUUCGUGGCGUCUGGCAACGCUAGAGGCGUGGCAAAUUCACCAUGUACUCGUUUCCUUACAAAAGAAAAGAAAAGAAGAGAAGAGAACAAAACAACAACAUGUUAGCUAGCGUUAUCAAAAAUAAAAUAUUUCGAACAUUGUCGACUCAAUGGAUGAAUUUCAUCGAUUAUUUGGAUUUUGGAACAGAUGGGCGUGGCGAUAAAAGCAAAUUGUCGUGUUCCAAACUAAACUUGGUCUUGGUUUAUUGCUCUUUCUUUAUGCUCAUUACGCUUUACGUGGUUUCGUUUAACUUGAAGGCACCAACCAAUU
Molecule: RNA transcript, 1462 nt
Organism: Oryza brachyantha (malo sina)
Lineage: Eukaryota; Viridiplantae; Streptophyta; Magnoliopsida; Poales; Poaceae
Gene name: 5-formyltetrahydrofolate cyclo-ligase-like protein COG0212
Exons: 8
Source: RefSeq, a predicted model, not a curated record